AUUAUAAACCCCAUCUUUUAACAGGCAAAAAACAUCCUUUCUUUCUCCUUGCCAUUUCUUUGUCUGACUCUUUCUGAUUCUGAUACCUUGAGCACUUCCAAACUGGCCUUGUACUAAUAUUCCCACAAUUGUUCUCUCAUUAUGUAUCAAUCCAAUAUUUAAUCUUAAAAGGGUUCUCUCAGAUUGGUGUAAACUGAUAAGGGUUCUUCUCAGAUUGGUGUCUGGAGUUCAUUAGCUACAGUCUUGCAUAAAUUCAUGGUUCCCCUAUAGAUUCUCCUGACCUCGUAGUGGACACAAUCCUCAUCAACAAUAUUGGUGGGGCAACGGAAACUGGGGAGAGAAUCCUCAAAAUUCAUCAGUCAAAAAGCUUAGCAGAUCAAGUCUACAGUCCAGUCAGAAGAGAAGUUUCUAGUAGAUCAUCGUUUCUGAUGAAGUCUCUUGACAAAGAUGAUGAGACUGAUUUGGAAAAAGGAAAAUUUCUGGAGAAAGACCGAGAAAAGACAACAAGAAGCCAUAGAGCAAUUGCAGCUCACAACAAGGCAUUACUUUCUGGUCUUGCAUAUUGUAUCUCUUCAUGUUGCAUGAUACUGGUUAACAAGUAUGUCCUCUCCGGUUAUGGCUUUAAUGCUGGGAUUUCUUUGAUGCUAUACCAGAAUUUUGUUUCAGUGGUGGUUGUUUCUGUUUUGAGUUUCUUUGGUGUAAUAUCUACCGAACCACUCACAUGGAGACUGAUUAAGGUCUGGUUGCCUGUCAAUGUUAUAUUUGUUGGGAUGCUUAUUACAAGUAUGUUUAGUUUGAAGUACAUUAAUGUUGCAAUGGUCACAGUCCUGAAGAAUGUAACAAACGUGAUAACUGCUAUUGGUGAAAUGUAUCUUUUUAAUAAGCACCAUGACAACAGAGUUUGGGCUGCUCUUUUCCUAAUGGAAGUUCUCUUGUGCAGAUUAUUUCAGCAAUCUCUGGGGGGAUUACGGAUCUCUCCUUUCAUGCUGUUGGUUACACAUGGCAGAUCAUCAAUUGUUUCCUGACAGCAUCGUACUCUUUAACGUUGCGUAGGGUCAUGGACACAGCUAAGCAAGUCACCAAAUCAGGAGACUUGAACGAGUUCUCUAUGGUCCUGCUAAACAACACCCUUUCAAUACCUUUAGGGGUUUUGCUUAUAUUAAUAUUUAAUGAGGUGGAUUAUCUAUCUAAAACGCCACUUCUAAGAUUGCCCAUCUUCUGGUUGGUAAUGACGUUAAGUGGACUUUUGGGGUUAGCAAUCAGUUUUACUUCCAUGUGGUUUCUCCAUCAAACAGGGGCUACAACCUACAGCCUGGUGGGUUCACUCAAUAAAAUUCCCCUGUCUGUUGCUGGCAUUCUUCUUUUCCAUGUUCCAACCAGUCUAGAGAAUUCUGCGAGCAUAUUUUUUGGCUUGCUUGCGGGAGUGUUUUUCGCCAGAGCUAAGAUGCGGGAGAGGUCUUAGUCCUGAAACCUUUAAAAGCACUUCCUUUUGGAAACCUGUCCCACCCAGGAGAAAUUUCGCUUCCAUUUCUAAGUUCCUGCCUAUCAACUCAGAUGGUCGCAAAAACAGUUUCUGUUGAUGAGUAUCUUUUCGUUUUUGUAUAAUUUGGCACAUCAUAAGAAAUGCACGGCUGCUGAUUAUUUAGCUUCCCGUGUUUGUUGUUGUAGGAAAUGUCUAUUUUUGCUAGUGUUAUUAGAAACACCUAGCCCAGAAAUCAGAGAGAUUGAUGAUAAACCACAAGUUUAAGUACUAAUGGUAUCUCUUUCGCACUGUGUUUGCUCUUUU
This is a non-coding RNA of Coffea arabica (coffee), 1786 nucleotides long. The record is from RefSeq and is a predicted model, not a curated record. Lineage: Eukaryota; Viridiplantae; Streptophyta; Magnoliopsida; Gentianales; Rubiaceae.